UUCGUGGAUCGAUGAAGAACGCAGCUAGCUGCGAUAAAUAGUGCGAAUUGCAGACACAUUGAGCACUAAAAAUUCGAACGCACAUUGCGCCAUCGGGUUCAUUCCCGUUGGCACGUCUGGCUGAGGGUUGAAUUAUUGAAAGAGUUGCCAUUUAUGAAUUUUCAACAUUCAUAGAGAAUGGCAUGUAUAUUCGAUAAGCUAUGAUAGUGGACAAAUGAGAAGUACUAUCGUACCUUAUUUAGCUAAUCUAUGAUUCAAUAUCUCGUUGUAAUUUGCUUAAACGAGAUGAGCGAGAGAGAAUAUAUACAUCAAAA
RNAcentral lists this ribosomal RNA (314 nucleotides) under Ascaris suum (pig roundworm). RNAcentral's name for it is "partial 5.8S ribosomal RNA". The stretch from base 1 to 130 matches the Rfam family "5.8S ribosomal RNA", at positions 25 to 154 of the family's 154-position model. Lineage: Eukaryota; Metazoa; Nematoda; Chromadorea; Rhabditida; Ascarididae. The record is from RNAcentral.